This 1673-nucleotide long non-coding RNA is filed under the name Arabidopsis lyrata. Its description in RNAcentral is "long non-coding RNA (ALYR_LNC001769)". The record is from RNAcentral. Lineage: Eukaryota; Viridiplantae; Streptophyta; Magnoliopsida; Brassicales; Brassicaceae.
UUCUUUGGACAGAGCUCCAGGUUUGUCAAUCUUGUUCCCAAGAACCAUAAGAGGGAUACCGUUAAGCGAAGUCUUGCUCAACAAAUCAUGGAGUUCACUUCUCGAGACACUUAAGUUGUCAGGAUCUGAUUGUGAAUAAGCCGAGCAAUAAAGAUAACAAAGAAACCUGAGUCUAAGAUCUUUACACAAUCACAGAAACAGCGCGACAGUAACGUACCCACAUGAAGCGGAAUCUUGGUUGACCACCAAGAUCCCAUAGCCUGAUUGCAACAUUUUCUUUUGUCACUUUCCUCAUGUUAAACCCGACCUGAUAAAACUACAAAGACGAAAUCUCUUCAUGUGUUCGUAAAAAACAGGUUUUGGAUCGAAAGCCGUAUUUUGUAAAAGAUGCAGUGUAACACUUACCGUAGGAAUCAUGUCUUCACUGUAUUCAUCAGUCUAAACAAGUAAAUAUCAGAUUCUCCAACCACCAACAACUAACAUGUUAAGAAAAUAUAAAAGGAAAAUCAUUACUAUACUUACUGCAACAACAUUUACAAGUGAUGUCUUUCCUGCAUUUUGAAGUCCUAUCAAAGAAAUCUCCAUUUCUUUGCUUGAAGAAGAGGCUGCAAAAUCAUAUCGAUUGAAACAAACAAAUGAAUAAGUCUCCUCAAAGAGAAGAAGAGGGAGAGCACUAAGUUUUGUUUUUACAGACGAUAUAAAUCAAAUUAUAUUUAGAUUGUUGAAGCCUGAGGGUAAUGGAGGCAACUUAGAGCUAACAUAUAAUCAAGUCCAUGGGAAACAAGUUGUCAAGAGGACUGAAACAUCUAAAAGAUGUUUCCAAAUGGGUUCCUCUACUAUCUCAACGCUGGACAUUGGCCUAAGGCUUCCAUUUCCCUCUUUAACACUGCCCUUGCUGGUUGAUUUGAUUCAUGUACAUUUCCUUAUUGAGUAUAUUUCUCUUCUUACUGAACGCUGUUUAGAAAAAUUGAGACACUUAUGUUUAUGUGUUUCCAAAAUUGCAAAGCCUUGGGAAUAGAAAAACAAUCCACAGCUAAUAUACAAAGACAAUACUGGUCCAAACCAGACCAGAACAGCAGGAGAAGGAGAGACAGAAGACGACAAAUAAAGACAAACUCUUGAUUCACACGAAAAAAUUGUCUUCAACAAUCACCAUCAUCAUCAACCAGACAAUACAGGAAGACUAAGAAGAUCAAGAAGAGAGAAUAAUAUCUUCUUGGUGAAGUUUAGUUCUUUGAUUUUGAAUGCUUUACGAGCCAAUCAAUGACUUGAUCAAUGUUGGUAGAGUUUUUGCAGGAUAUCAUGAAACAGCAGACUUCUCUAUCUGUAAGAGACGUAAGCCCCCUGCAACAAUAACGACGUAGAAAACAUUAUCAGAUCAAGCUAAAAUUGUGCUUUUUUGGAAUGUUCAGAUGAAGAAAAAGCUAUACAUUUCGCCUGUUAAGGCUUCUUUGGACAGAGCUCCAGGUUUGUCAAUCUUGUUCCCAAGAACCAGAAGAGGGAUACCAUUAAGCGAAGUCUUGCUCAACAGAUCAUGGAGUUCACUUUUCGAGACACUGAGGUUGUCAGGAUCUGCAGCAUCAACUACAUACCUGGAAAUGGAAUCAACAUGAAACCGAAUUGUCGGAGAUACAUAGUGAAGAGAAACCUGAGACUAACUAAGAUCCUUACAC